UACGAAGGGUGCUAGCGUUGUUCGGAUUUACUGGGCGUAAAGCGCACGUAGGCGGAUCGUUAAGUCGGGGGUGAAAUCCUGGAGCUCAACUCCAGAACUGCCUUCGAUACUGGCGAUCUUGAGUCCGGAAGAGGUGAGUGGAACUCCUAGUGUAGAGGUGGAAUUCGUAGAUAUUAGGAAGAACACCAGUGGCGAAGGCGGAACACUGGUCCGGUACUGACGCUGAGGUGCGAAAGCGUGGGGAGCAAACAGG
This 253-nucleotide ribosomal RNA is filed under the name uncultured bacterium. Its description in RNAcentral is "partial 16S ribosomal RNA". It matches the Rfam family "Bacterial small subunit ribosomal RNA", at positions 524 to 776 of the family's 1533-position model. The record is from RNAcentral.